AGGCUCUUACGUAUUUCCCUUAGUAAGAGUGACGCUACAGAUAUGGAAUCCUCAGUUUUGGCUGUGCAACAAGGGAAUCAAGGACAAUGAGAAAAUCGCAAAGGUAAUGGGAAGAAAUUUCAUUGUUCCUAUUGUGAUAAGAAAGGUCACACACGGGAUGCAUGUUGGCAUUGUAUGGCCAACCACCACGGCCCAAUCAACCCGAUAAUACUAGCAAGUCAGCAGCUUAUCUUGCCCAAUCUAAUGAAAAAGGCCUGCUUCCACAACCUACCAAUAAAUCUCAGGAACUAAAUUCAAUCAUUUUAACGAGAAAAGACUAUAAAGAAUAUUUGCAGUUCCAAACAGCUAAGCAACAUCCUCUAUCUUCCAGCAUUGCUCACUCAUGUAAUUCCUUUGCUUGUCUAACUAAGUGUUCACCUAAUUGGUCCAUGAAUCCUAGACUCUGGUGCUUCUGAUCAUAGCUUUGGUAAUCACAAUCUUUUCUCUACUCUUGUUUCACCUUCCACACCAUUUAAAGUCACCUUGGCUAAUGAUUCACAAACUCAAGUUAAAGGAAUAGGAAAAGUACAAUUUCUUCCUUCUAUUUCCUUAACUACUAUCUUGUUCUCUCCUGAAUGUCCAUAUAUAUUAAUCUCCAUUAGCAAAUUGACCAAAAAUCUUAAUUAUUCAGUAACCUUUACUACUGAUUCUAUUGUGGUGCAGGACAGAGUACUGAGAGAAUAUUUAGAACAGGAUCUGAGUCACAAAGAUUGUACCACCUCUCCAGUUGCUUUUGUUUCUACCACUUCCGCUGAGCUUAUUCAUAACCAUUUGGGACAUCCUAGUCUUCUCAAAUUGCAGAAAAUUGUCCCUAGUCUUUCUUCUUUGUCUUCUUUAGCAUGUGAGUCAUGUCAACUUGGAAAAUAAACUCGGGCUUCAUUUUCUAAGCGAGUCAAUAACAGGGCCA
RNAcentral lists this long non-coding RNA (946 nucleotides) under Manihot esculenta (cassava). RNAcentral's name for it is "long non-coding RNA (MESC_LNC003136)". Lineage: Eukaryota; Viridiplantae; Streptophyta; Magnoliopsida; Malpighiales; Euphorbiaceae. The record is from RNAcentral.